GGGGCUGCAGAUCAGUGCUAGAGCAUCUGCUUGGCAUGCAGAUGGUCCAAGGUUCCAUCCCUAGCAUCUCCA
Molecule: transfer RNA, 72 nt
Filed under: Sphaerodactylus townsendi
Lineage: Eukaryota; Metazoa; Chordata; Lepidosauria; Squamata; Sphaerodactylidae
Description: tRNA-Ala
Rfam family: tRNA
About the family: Transfer RNA (tRNA) molecules are approximately 80 nucleotides in length. Their secondary structure includes four short double-helical elements and three loops (D, anti-codon, and T loops).
Source: RNAcentral